This is a long non-coding RNA of Orcinus orca (killer whale), 527 nucleotides long. RefSeq lists it as uncharacterized. The record is from RefSeq and is a predicted model, not a curated record. Lineage: Eukaryota; Metazoa; Chordata; Mammalia; Artiodactyla; Delphinidae. The transcript has 3 exons.
CUUAUAAAAAAGUGGAAACUCGUCAUUGAAGCACUAUUCACAACAGCCAAGACAUGGAAGCAACGUAAAUGUCCAUGAACAGAGGAAUGGAUAAGGAAGAUGUGGCAUAUAUACACAGUGGAAUACUACUCAGCCAUAAAAAGAAUGAAAUAAUGCCAACUGCAGCGACAAUGGAUGGACCUAGAGGUUUUCAUACUAAGCAAAAUGGACCCACACACAGGGAAGACAACGUGAAGGCACAGAGGGAAUACACCAGGUGAAGAUGAGGGCAGAGAUCCACAAGCCAGGGAGCGCCAAAGACCGCCAGAAAACCACCAGGAGCUAGGGGAGAAGCCUGGAACAGACACUCCUUCUCAGUCCUCAGAAGGACCCAAUCCUGCCCACACCUUGGUCUUGGACUUCUGACCUCCAGAAUGCAAAGGUGCAAGGACCUGCUUAGGCCAUGAGAAGAAAAUGCGGUCAAGAUAAAAGCUGAUUGUGAAUUCAGUUCCAAGGUGUAAAAAGUACCGACGAAAGAUACGUGAUUA